This 389-nucleotide ribosomal RNA is filed under the name uncultured Streptococcus sp. RNAcentral describes it as "bacterial SSU rRNA". It matches the Rfam family "Bacterial small subunit ribosomal RNA", at positions 991 to 1382 of the family's 1533-position model. The record is from RNAcentral. Lineage: Bacteria; Bacillati; Bacillota; Bacilli; Lactobacillales; Streptococcaceae.
GUCUUAUUUCUAGAGAUAGAAAGUUACUUCGGUACAUUCGGUGACAGGUGGUGCAUGGUUGUCGUCAGCUCGUGUCGUGAGAUGUUGGGUUAAGUCCCGCAACGAGCGCAACCCCUAUUGUUAGUUGCCAUCAUUCAGUUGGGCACUCUAGCGAGACUGCCGGUAAUAAACCGGAGGAAGGUGGGAUGACGUCAAAUCAUCAUGCCCCUUAUGACCUGGGCUACACACGUGCUACAAUGGUUGGUACAACGAGUUGCGAGUCGGUGACGGCGAGCUAAUCUCUUAAAGCCAAUCUCAGUUCGGAUUGUAGGCUGCAACUCGCCUACAUGAAGUCGGAAUCGCUAGUAAUCGCGGAUCAGCACGCCGCGGUGAAUACGUUCCCGGGCCUU